GUUGUUCAAUCUGGUCACCUGGCUUCCUAUUCUGUUUGAAAAGUCAAAGCCUGUGUGCUGCUGUCUGUGAGGACAUGCGUAAGAUGGCAGAGUCCCUGUCAUGUGGGACGAACUGGAUUGAAACCAAAUCUAUGAUGGAAAUGGAGAAACUCUGCUUGGAAAAGCUAAAAUUCCAGCUGGAGGGAAGGCAAGAUCUUUAGCCUGGAAAGAGAUGUGCUAACUUCCUUGUUAGGUCUGCAAGAAG
Molecule: long non-coding RNA, 244 nt
Filed under: Gopherus agassizii (Agassiz's desert tortoise)
Lineage: Eukaryota; Metazoa; Chordata; Testudines; Testudinidae
Description: lncRNA (ENSGAGG00000012976.1)
Source: RNAcentral